Non-coding RNA from Podarcis lilfordi (Lilford's wall lizard), 73 nucleotides. Lineage: Eukaryota; Metazoa; Chordata; Lepidosauria; Squamata; Lacertidae. The record is from the annotation of a GenBank genome assembly.
GCUGGGAUAGUUCAGUUGGUAGAGCAUGAGGCUCUUAAUCUCAGGCUUGUGGGUUUGAGCACCACGCUGGGCA